This 334-nucleotide ribosomal RNA is filed under the name uncultured bacterium. Its description in RNAcentral is "partial 16S ribosomal RNA". It matches the Rfam family "Bacterial small subunit ribosomal RNA", at positions 338 to 669 of the family's 1533-position model. The record is from RNAcentral.
CCUACGGGCGGCAGCAGUGAGGAAUAUUGGUCAAUGGACGAGAGUCUGAACCAGCCAAGUAGCGUGAAGGAUGACUGCCCUAUGGGUUGUAAACUUCGUUUAUAUGGGAAGAAAACGUUCCACGUGUGGGAUUUUGUAUGUACUUUAUGAAUAAGGAUCGGCUAACUCCGUGCCAGCAGCCGCGGUAAUACGGAGGAUCCGAGCGUUAUCCGGAUUUAUUGGGUUUAAAGGGAGCGUAGAUGGGUUGUUAAGUCAGUUGGGAAAGUUUGCGGCUCAACCGUAAAAUUGCAAUUGAUACUGGCAGUCUUGCGUACCGUUGCGCUAGGCGGACUUC